CCAAACCACCCUGAAUGUGGCCAAUCUCAUCCAAUCUUGAAAGCUAUGUGAACUCAAGACUGAUUCGUACGUGGACGGGAGGCCACCUGGAAGUACUAGGUACUGUAUGGU
RNAcentral lists this ribosomal RNA (111 nucleotides) under Echinops telfairi (small Madagascar hedgehog). Lineage: Eukaryota; Metazoa; Chordata; Mammalia; Afrosoricida; Tenrecidae. The record is from RNAcentral.